GGCUCAAAUUCUUCUAUUGGGUUAGCUUCAGUACUAACUUCUUUUUCUAAAUUUUCAUUUUGACUAGCAUCAGUACUAGCCUCUCUCACCUAGUCUGAAUAUGGAUCCUUAAGAAUCCUAUUACUUCUAAGCUCAAAGAUUACUUUGUCAUUUUCAAAUUGAGGAUUCUUAGGUUGGACAUUGGAUUGUUGACUAGGUC
Molecule: long non-coding RNA, 199 nt
Filed under: Elaeis guineensis (African oil palm)
Lineage: Eukaryota; Viridiplantae; Streptophyta; Magnoliopsida; Arecales; Arecaceae
Description: long non-coding RNA (EGUI_LNC069309)
Source: RNAcentral